RNAcentral lists this long non-coding RNA (255 nucleotides) under Oryza brachyantha (malo sina). Its description in RNAcentral is "long non-coding RNA (OBRA_LNC002857)". Lineage: Eukaryota; Viridiplantae; Streptophyta; Magnoliopsida; Poales; Poaceae. The record is from RNAcentral.
AUCAACCACGCAUUUGGAGUGCAGUUAGCCCUGUGAGUCCUCUGUCCAACCUUUUCUUGUAGUGGCAUUUUGGUAUGCAUUUUUCAAUUGUUAUAUAGCACAGCUGGUCAAGUGAGCAGCAAUAGAACCCGCCUCGAGUCUCAACGCAACCAUCACGUCUAAUAUAUGUAAAGCUAAUACCGUUUUUAACUCCCAUCUUUCUUCCAAUCUCGUCUGUGGUUUGACCUACAGAUGUAAUUAAGGAGUCAUAUGUUU